This 204-nucleotide long non-coding RNA is filed under the name Anas platyrhynchos platyrhynchos (common mallard). RNAcentral's name for it is "lncRNA (ENSAPLG00000020887.1)". Lineage: Eukaryota; Metazoa; Chordata; Aves; Anseriformes; Anatidae. The record is from RNAcentral.
GAAGUGCUGUGAGUUUCGCAGCUGCAAAAAGGUUGAAGAGAGGGUAGGGAGGCCAGCAAAGGUCUUCCCCUCCAGACCUGCACAGCUGGCCAUAUACAUGAAGAAAUUAAAUCACCACAGAGCAGCAGUGGUAGCCUUGGCAGGAGGCACAGGACAGCGGGCAGGGUACCAUGGGGACAUCUGACUUAUUGUAAGUGCUGUCUU